Molecule: ribosomal RNA, 428 nt
Filed under: uncultured bacterium
Lineage: Bacteria
Description: bacterial SSU rRNA
Rfam family: Bacterial small subunit ribosomal RNA
Source: RNAcentral
ACUCCUACGGGAGGCAGCAGUGGGGAAUAUUGCACAAUGGGCGCAAGCCUGAUGCAGCCAUGCCGCGUGUAUGAAGAAGGCCUUCGGGUUGUAAAGUACUUUCAGCAGUGAGGAAGGUGGUGUCGUUAAUAGCGGCAUCAUUUGACGUUAGCUGCAGAAGAAGCACCGGCUAACUCCGUGCCAGCAGCCGCGGUAAUACGGAGGGUGCGAGCGUUAAUCGGAAUUACUGGGCGUAAAGCGCAUGCAGGUGGUUUGUUAAGUCAGAUGUGAAAGCCCGGGGCUCAACCUCGGAAUUGCAUUUGAAACUGGCAGACUAGAGUACUGUAGAGGGGGGUAGAAUUUCAGGUGUAGCGGUGAAAUGCGUAGAGAUCUGAAGGAAUACCGGUGGCGAAGGCGGCCCCCUGGACAGAUACUGACACUCAGAUGCG